Molecule: small RNA, 125 nt
Filed under: Marmota monax (woodchuck)
Lineage: Eukaryota; Metazoa; Chordata; Mammalia; Rodentia; Sciuridae
Source: RNAcentral
GCCAGGUGUGGUGGUGCAUACCUGUAAUCCCAGCAGCUCUGGAGGCUGAGGCAGCAGGAUUUUGAGUGCAAAGCCAGCCUCAGCAAUUGCAAGGUGCUAAGCAACUCAGUGAGACCCUGUCUUUA